UACUAGAGUAGCACUCGCAUAUCAAUAAGCGGAGGAAAAGAAACUAACAAGGAUUUCCCUAGUAACGGCGAGUGAAGCGGGAAGAGCUCAAAUUUGAUAUCUUAAAGGGUUUCCCUUUACGAAUUGUAGUUUAAAGAAGUGUUUUCUGUUGAGGUUUUGGUAAAAGUUCUUUGGAAUAGGACAUCAUAGAGGGUGAGAAUCCCGUAUUUGACCUUUACUUUCAACUUUGUGAUACACUUUCAAAGAGUCGGAUUGUUUGGGAAUGCAGUCCAAAAUGGGUGGUAAAUUUCAUCUAAAGCUAAAUAUUGGCGAGAGACCGAUAGCGAACAAGUACCGUGAGGGAAAGAUGAAAAGAACUUUGAAAAGAGAGUUAAACAGUACGUGAAAUUUGUCAAAAGGGAAGCGUUUGACACCAGUGUUGUUUUUCUGAAAAUCAAUUAAAGAACUGUUUAUGCUAAGUUGUUUAGACUUUAUCAGCUAUCUGCUUAGUUUUGAGCUUUUCUUUAAUGCACUUUUCCAGUUAACAGGUCAACAUCAAUUUCUUUUGCUGUAAAAAAGCUUGAGGAAGGUGGCUUGAGAUUCGUCUUAAGUGUUUAUAGCCUCUUGCCUAUGCAGUCGGAGAGAUUGAGGUCUGCAGCGUAGAUCCUUCGGGGCUAAAUGCAUUUGUGCUAAGUUAUAGCAUUUUAUAGACAACUUGUUGACUAUGAUUUGUCUUGUAGCUUACUCGCUUAUGUUAUUUUACCUACGCUUAGGAUGUUGAACUCUAUCACACACAG
Molecule: ribosomal RNA, 776 nt
Filed under: uncultured Neocallimastigales
Lineage: Eukaryota; Fungi; Neocallimastigomycota; Neocallimastigomycetes; Neocallimastigales
Description: partial large subunit ribosomal RNA
Rfam family: Eukaryotic large subunit ribosomal RNA
Source: RNAcentral